GUCUCUGUGAAGGUGCUGCAUGGUUGUCGUCAGCUCGUGCCGUGAGGUGUCGGCUUAAGUGCCAUAACGAGCGCAACCCCUUUCCCUAGUUGCCAUCGGUUUUGGCCGGGCACUCUGGGGACACUGCCUCCGCAAGGAGUGAGGAAGGUGGGGAUGACGUCAAAUCAGCACGGCCCUUACGUCCGGGGCUACACACGUGUUACAAUGGGUGAUACAGAGGGCCGGCCGCUGGCAACAUCGGUCCAAUCCUUAAAGUCAUCCUCAGUUCGGACUGGGGUCUGCAACCCGACCCCACGAAGCUGGAUUCGCUAGUAAUCGCGCAUCAGCCAUGGCGCGGUGAAUACGUUCCCGGGCCUUGUACACACCGCCCGUCAAGCCAUGAAAGCCGGGGGCGCCUGAAGUCCGUGACCGCGAGGGUCGGCCUAGGGUGAAACCGGUGAUUGGGGCUAAGUCGUAACAAGGUAGCCGUACCGGAAGGUGCGGCUGGAUCACCUCCUU
RNAcentral lists this ribosomal RNA (498 nucleotides) under uncultured bacterium. Its description in RNAcentral is "bacterial SSU rRNA". It matches the Rfam family "Bacterial small subunit ribosomal RNA", at positions 1026 to 1532 of the family's 1533-position model. The record is from RNAcentral.